RNAcentral lists this long non-coding RNA (1356 nucleotides) under Ananas comosus (pineapple). Its description in RNAcentral is "long non-coding RNA (ACOM_LNC030173)". Lineage: Eukaryota; Viridiplantae; Streptophyta; Magnoliopsida; Poales; Bromeliaceae. The record is from RNAcentral.
UGAGAGAUUUUCUUUUUCAAUUUUUUAGGAUUUAUUGUGUUAAAUAAAUUUCGAAAAAUUAGGGUUAUGGUUUAGGCUUUUUUAAAUAUGUUUGAAUUAAAAAAAAGAGAUUUAUCAAAUAAUAAGAUUUGAUUUAGAUUAGAAUUAUAUUUUGAAGGCUAUAAAUAUAGCCUAUAUCUUAUAAUUUAUGAGUUGAGUUAUGAUAAAUUAGUUUGAUGUUUAUGGCGUGGCUAUGGUCAUAGUAUUUUCUUCUUCCCUCGUGCUAUAUGCGCCGAUAAAAUUUUUCUUCCUCAAAUGGUUUAUCUUCUCUUUCCUUCUUUAUUUUAUCUAAUUUUCUCUAUUUCUCUCUUAUUUUUCUUUUAAAUUUGCUUUUCUAAUUCUUUUAGAAAUUCUACAAAUUUUUCUGACUUUUACCUUAUUAUCGGCUAUUUUCUUCAAUUUUUUCUCGAUUUUUUUUUAAAAAAAUAUAAAACUAAAAAAACUGUACAGAAACCUAUUGCUCCAGCUGUACUUUUUUUUGAUUUUUUUAAUCUUUUGUUAUUUCAAAAUUUCAUUUAAAAUUUAUUAAAAUUUUUAAAAAAUUAAAAAUUCGAAAAUUUACUUAAAAUAGGGAUGGUGGGUAAAAUAGGGUAUUUUGUUAGUAUUGUAUUUUCUUAUAAAAGAGUUUUUUGAAUGGUUUUUAUAGAAUUAUAGAAUAUAACAAUGAAUCUUGGGAUAAAAUGAAAAGGUGCACAAAUAUAUAAAAGUUUGGAGAAAAGUGGGGGUGAAAUAACUUAGCCAUUCCUCACUCAAUCUUUCUUUCUUGUUGUGCAUUUUAUAUUGGCAGAUUUCAUGAAGUUUUUUGGAAUCUUGAAGGGUUGAAGAAGAAGAUAUUAAGAUCAAAGACUCGAAGGCAUAUAUUGAAGCUCACGACCCCAAAUAUAUUUAUGGUUGUCAGAUGUGACUCGAAAUCUACUAUCGUUUCCACGUUUGGGUUUACGACUCGCCGACAGCUUCGCGGUGCGACCAAUUUGGAAAAGAAAAUUAUGAAAAAAAAAUGAAUGUCUGUGGUGCGACCAAGUUAUGAGUUUUUCUUUUCGUUUUUGCCCUAGAGGCGUGUGAUCAUGGUUGGUUGUAAUUUGCAGAAUAUUGUAUUCCCUUUUCGUUCCAUAGUGAAGCUCUCUCCUCCCUCGCCCGUGGUUUUUUCCCUGUAAAGGGUUUUCCACGUAAAUCUGUGUCUCUUUAUUUUCUGCUUGUGGUUUGAUUGUUUUUUUGUGUUCGUCAUUUCGUUUUCGUUUGUGCGUUUGUUGUAACAAUGGUGGUUUAUGAAUAAUCUAUAAGUGUUUAGAAGACAAUAGUAUAGGACUAUAUUUAAAU